This 465-nucleotide ribosomal RNA is filed under the name Vreelandella stevensii. Its description in RNAcentral is "partial 16S ribosomal RNA". It matches the Rfam family "Bacterial small subunit ribosomal RNA", at positions 338 to 795 of the family's 1533-position model. Lineage: Bacteria; Pseudomonadati; Pseudomonadota; Gammaproteobacteria; Oceanospirillales; Halomonadaceae. The record is from RNAcentral.
CCUACGGGGGGCAGCAGUGGGGAAUAUUGGACAAUGGGCGAAAGCCUGAUCCAGCCAUGCCGCGUGUGUGAAGAAGGCCUUCGGGUUGUAAAGCACUUUCAGUGGGGAAGAAAGCCUUGGGGCCAAUACCCUCGAGGAAGGACAUCACCCACAGAAGAAGCACCGGCUAACUCCGUGCCAGCAGCCGCGGUAAUACGGAGGGUGCGAGCGUUAAUCGGAAUUACUGGGCGUAAAGCGCGCGUAGGCGGUCUGAUAAGCCGGUUGUGAAAGCCCCGGGCUCAACCUGGGAACGGCAUCCGGAACUGUCAGGCUAGAGUGCAGGAGAGGAAGGUAGAAUUCCCGGUGUAGCGGUGAAAUGCGUAGAGAUCGGGAGGAAUACCAGUGGCGAAGGCGGCCUUCUGGACUGACACUGACGCUGAGGUGCGAAAGCGUGGGUAGCAAACAGGAUUAGAUACCCUUGUAGUC